This 74-nucleotide transfer RNA is filed under the name bacterium. RNAcentral describes it as "tRNA-Met". It matches the Rfam family "tRNA". From Rfam's summary of the family: Transfer RNA (tRNA) molecules are approximately 80 nucleotides in length. Their secondary structure includes four short double-helical elements and three loops (D, anti-codon, and T loops). Further hydrogen bonds mediate the characteristic L-shaped molecular structure. tRNAs have two regions of fundamental functional importance: the anti-codon, which is responsible for specific mRNA codon recognition, and the 3' end, to which the tRNAs corresponding amino acid is attached (by aminoacyl-tRNA synthetases). tRNAs cope with the degeneracy of the genetic code in two manners: having more than one tRNA (with a specific anti-codon) for a particular amino acid; and 'wobble' base-pairing, i.e. permitting non-standard base-pairing at the 3rd anti-codon position. The record is from RNAcentral. RNAcentral also lists the same sequence under 3 other names.
CGCGGGGUGGAGCAGUCUGGUAGCUCGUCGGGCUCAUAACCCGAAGGUCGAAGGUUCAAAUCCUUCCCCCGCCA